RNAcentral lists this ribosomal RNA (408 nucleotides) under uncultured bacterium. Its description in RNAcentral is "bacterial SSU rRNA". It matches the Rfam family "Bacterial small subunit ribosomal RNA", at positions 355 to 776 of the family's 1533-position model. The record is from RNAcentral.
UGGGGAAUUUUCCGCAAUGGGCGAAAGCCUGACGGAGCAAUACCGCGUGAGGGAAGAAUGCCUACGGGUUGUAAACCUCUUUUAUCAGGGAGGAAUAAAAUGACGUGUACCUGAUGAAUAAGCAUCGGCUAACUCUGUGCCAGCAGCCGCGGUAAGACAGAGGAUGCAAGUGUUAUCCGGAAUUACUGGGCGUAAAGCGUCUGUAGGUUGUUUAACAAGUCAACUGUUAAAUCUUGAAGCUCAACUUCAAAAUCGCAGUCGAAACUGUUAAACUAGAGUAUAGUAGAGGUAAAGGGAAUUUCCAGUGGAGCGGUGAAAUGCGUAGAUAUUGGGAAGAACACCGAUGGCGAAAGCACUUUACUGGGCUAUUACUGACACUCAGAGACGACAGCUAGGGUAGCAAAUGGG